AAAAUGGCUUUUCUAAAGGCCACCUUUAGAUCAAAAUACUUAAUCU
This is a non-coding RNA of Homo sapiens (human), 46 nucleotides long. NCBI's taxonomy places the organism in Eukaryota, Metazoa, Chordata, Mammalia, Primates, Hominidae. The record is from Rfam.